Molecule: ribosomal RNA, 511 nt
Filed under: uncultured bacterium
Lineage: Bacteria
Description: bacterial SSU rRNA
Rfam family: Bacterial small subunit ribosomal RNA
Source: RNAcentral
CGCUGGCGGCGUGCCUAAUACAUGCAAGUCGAACGGUCUUUCUAUGGAAGCUUGCUUCCACUGAGAAGAUAGUGGCGAACGGGUGAGUAACACGUGGGUAACCUGCCCAUAAGAGGGGGAUAACAUCCGGAAACGGGUGCUAAUACCGCAUAGUUUUCUUGAUCGCAUGAUUGAGAAAGGAAAGACGGCCUUUGUGCUGUCGCUUAUGGAUGGACCCGCGGCGUAUUAGUUAGUUGGUGAGGUAAUGGCUCACCAAGACGAUGAUACGUAGCCGACCUGAGAGGGUGAUCGGCCACAUUGGGACUGAGACACGGCCCAAACUCCUACGGGAGGCAGCAGUAGGGAAUCUUCCGCAAUGGACGAAAGUCUGACGGAGCAACGCCGCGUGAGUGAAGAAAGGUUUUCGGAUCGUAAAACUCUGUUGUCAGAGAAGAACAAGUUGGAGAGUAACUGCUCCAGCCUUGACGGUAUCUGACCAGAAAGCCACGGCUAACUACGUGCCAGCCGCCGC